This 249-nucleotide long non-coding RNA is filed under the name Brachypodium distachyon (stiff brome). Its description in RNAcentral is "long non-coding RNA (BDIS_LNC004659)". The record is from RNAcentral. Lineage: Eukaryota; Viridiplantae; Streptophyta; Magnoliopsida; Poales; Poaceae.
CUUGAUCUCUAAAAAAAAUUCGAUCUAUUAUGAAACACUUUCCAAAAGCACUCUUGAUUGGACUAGGACUCGAACUCGCGGCUGAAAACUAUAACUUGCCCACUCGAUGUAGGACUCGAAGAAGGACACGGUGUAGGACUCGACGAGGGACUCGGUGUAGGACUCGAAGAGGGACUCGGUGGAAGAUAUGGUGGCGGCGGGAGAUUAUGGCGGUGAUGUGGCAGGAAGUUUGGCGGCGAAGAUUGAUGA